CUGAUUGAACGUGCUUGCACGGACUUGACGUUGGUUUACCAGCGAGUGGCGGACGGGUGAGUAACACGUAGGUAACCUGCCCCAAAGCGGGGGAUAACAUUUGGAAACAGAUGCUAAUACCGCAUAACAAUUUGAAUCGCAUGAUUCAAAUUUAAAAGAUGGCUUCGGCUAUCACUUUGGGAUGGACCUGCGGCGCAUUAGCUUGUUGGUAGGGUAACGGCCUACCAAGGCUGUGAUGCGUAGCCGAGUUGAGAGACUGAUCGGCCACAAUGGAACUGAGACACGGUCCAUACUCCUACGGGAGGCAGCAGUAGGGAAUCUUCCACAAUGGGCGCAAGCCUGAUGGAGCAACACCGCGUGAGUGAAGAAGGGUUUCGGCUCGUAAAGCUCUGUUGUUAGAGAAGAACGUGCGUGAGAGCAACUGUUCACGCAGUGACGGUAUCUAACCAGAAAGUCACGGCUAACUACGUGCCAGCAGCCGCGGUAAUACGUAGGUGGCAAGCGUUAUCCGGAUUUAUUGGGCGUAAAGCGAGCGCAGGCGGUUUGAUAAGUCUGAUGUGAAAGCCUUUGGCUUAACCAAAGAAGUGCAUCGGAAACUGUCAGAUUUGAGUGCAGAAGAGGACAGUGGAACUCUGGGGGAAAGGGGGGGAAA
RNAcentral lists this ribosomal RNA (652 nucleotides) under Limosilactobacillus mucosae. Its description in RNAcentral is "bacterial SSU rRNA". It matches the Rfam family "Bacterial small subunit ribosomal RNA", at positions 47 to 686 of the family's 1533-position model. Lineage: Bacteria; Bacillati; Bacillota; Bacilli; Lactobacillales; Lactobacillaceae. The record is from RNAcentral.